This 1442-nucleotide ribosomal RNA is filed under the name uncultured organism. Its description in RNAcentral is "SSU rRNA". It matches the Rfam family "Bacterial small subunit ribosomal RNA". The record is from RNAcentral.
GCUGGCGGCGCGCCUAACACAUGCAAGUCGAACGGAGUUAUCUCAGCAGAAGUUUUCGGAUGGACGCAGGGAUAACUUAGUGGCGAACGGGUGAGUAACGUGUGGGCAACCUGCCCUGUACUGGGGAAUAAUCAUUGGAAACGAUGACUAAUACCGCAUGUGGUCCUCGGAAGGCAUCUUCUGAGGAAGAAAGGAUUUAUUCGGUACAGGAUGGGCCCGCAUCUGAUUAGCUAGUUGGUGAGAUAACAGCCCACCAAGGCGACGAUCAGUAGCCGACCUGAGAGGGUGAUCGGCCACAUUGGGACUGAGACACGGCCCAAACUCCUACGGGAGGCAGCAGUGGGGAAUAUUGCACAAUGGGCGAAAGCCUGAUGCAGCAACGCCGCGUGAAGGAUGAAGGGUUUCGGCUCGUAAACUUCUAUCAAUAGGGAAGAAAGAAAUGACGGUACCUAAAUAAGAAGCCCCGGCUAACUACGUGCCAGCAGCCGCGGUAAUACGUAGGGGGCAAGCGUUAUCCGGAAUUACUGGGUGUAAAGGGAGCGUAGGCGGCAUGGUAAGCCAGAUGUGAAAGCCUUGGGCUUAACCCGAGGAUUGCAUUUGGAACUAUCCAGCUAGAGUACAGGAGAGGAAAGCGGAAUUCCUAGUGGAGCGGUGGAAAAUGCGUAGAUAUUAGGAAGAACACCCGUGGCGAAAGGCGGCUUUCUGGACUGAAACUGACGCUGAGGCUCGAAAGCGUGGGGAGCAAACAGGAUUAGAUACCCUGGUAGUCCACGCCGUAAACGAUGAGUGCUAGGUGUCGGGGAGGAAUCCUCGGUGCCGCAGCUAACGCAAUAAGCACUCCACCUGGGGAGUACGACCGCAAGGUUGAAACUCAAAGGAAUUGACGGGGGCCCGCACAAGCGGUGGAGCAUGUGGUUUAAUUCGAAGCAACGCGAAGAACCUUACCAAGGCUUGACAUCCCGAUGACCGUCCUAGAGAUAGGACUUCUCUUCGGAGCAUCGGUGACAGGUGGUGCAUGGUUGUCGUCAGCUCGUGUCGUGAGAUGUUGGGUUAAGUCCCGCAACGAGCGCAACCCUUAUCUUCAGUAGCCAUCAUUGAGUUGGGCACUCUGGAGAGACUGCCGUGGAUAACACGGAGGAAGGUGGGGAUGACGUCAAAUCAUCAUGCCCCUUAUGUCUUGGGCUACACACGUGCUACAAUGGCUGGUAACAAAGUGACGCAAGACGGUGACGUUAAGCAAAUCACAAAAACCCAGUCCCAGUUCGGAUUGUAGUCUGCAACUCGACUACAUGAAGCUGGAAUCGCUAGUAAUCGCGAAUCAGCAUGUCGCGGUGAAUACGUUCCCGGGCCUUGUACACACCGCCCGUCACACCAUGGGAGUUGGAAGCACCCGAAGUCGGUGACCUAACCGUAAGGAAGGAGCCGCCGAAGGUGAAGCCAGU